AGUGCACUAAAAAAUAUUCUCUCAUACCAAAGUCCUUCUGGUCAUUGCUACUACUACACUGGUCUAGUGCAGCAGGCUCUUGAGCCUCCAAGGGACUUGUUUCAACUGAGACUUCAUCAACCACAGGAGAUAGCUUGCUUAAUCAUGAUGCCAUUGCAUGCCACGGAUUACCAAGAGGAAACUGGAAAAAGAAGCUCUCCCUGGCUAGCUUUGAAGAAGUACAUGACAUAUACUUCUUCACAUGGCAAGAAGUUCCUGGCAGGUUCUAAGGGCUGAGCAGCCUCUGACUAGAAAGAAAACAGGGAGCUCAGUCCUACAGCUUCAAGGAAUUAAACUCCUCCAAUAACCACAUGAUCUGUGAAGAGAAUCUUGAGCUACAGAAGAAAAUGAAACUUGGCCAAGACAUUAAUUAUAGUCAUGUGAGACCCUGAACAGAGAACCCAGUUUAGCCGUGCCAAGACUUCUGACCCAUAGAAGUUGUGA
RNAcentral lists this long non-coding RNA (483 nucleotides) under Homo sapiens (human). Its description in RNAcentral is "HSALNT0130288". Lineage: Eukaryota; Metazoa; Chordata; Mammalia; Primates; Hominidae. The record is from RNAcentral.